This 253-nucleotide ribosomal RNA is filed under the name uncultured bacterium. Its description in RNAcentral is "partial 16S ribosomal RNA". It matches the Rfam family "Bacterial small subunit ribosomal RNA", at positions 524 to 776 of the family's 1533-position model. The record is from RNAcentral.
GACAGAGGUGGCAAGCGUUGUUCGGAAUUACUGGGCUUAAAGGGCGAGUAGGCGGUGAGACCAGUCCGAGGUGGAAUCCUCUGGCUUAACCAGAGAACUGCCUUAGAUACUGUUUCACUUGAGUCAGUGAGGGGAGGGCGGAAUUCCCGGUGUAGCGGUGAAAUGCGUAGAUAUCGGGAGGAAGGCCAGUGGCGAAGGCGGCCCUCUGGCGCUGAACUGACGCUGAGGCGCGAAAGCGUGGGUAGCAAACAGG